This 495-nucleotide ribosomal RNA is filed under the name Cardiodactylus palawan. RNAcentral describes it as "partial large subunit ribosomal RNA". It matches the Rfam family "Bacterial large subunit ribosomal RNA", at positions 1819 to 2582 of the family's 2925-position model. Lineage: Eukaryota; Metazoa; Arthropoda; Insecta; Orthoptera; Gryllidae. The record is from RNAcentral.
CUUCUUGUAAUAAUUGGAAGUCAGAUCUGUCCACUGAGAAUUUAAUUUAAAGGACCGCGGUAUAUUGACCGUGCAAAGGUAGCAUAAUCAUUAGUUUUUUAAUUGAGAACUGGAAUGAAUGAUUUAACGAAAUAAUUAGUGUCUCUAAUAUAAUUAAUUGAAUUUUACUUUUAAGUUAAAAGGCUUAAAUGUUAAUAAGGGACGAUAAGACCCUAUAGAUCUUUAUAAUAAUUUUAUUAUUAUUGUUAUUUAGUUAUAAUAUAAUAUAUAUUAAUGUUAUUAUUUUGUUGGGGUGAUGUGAGAAUAAAUUAACUUCUUGAUUUUUAACUUUGAUGAUUGAAUUUUAGAUCCUAUAUUUAUGGAAAAAAGAUUAAGAUACCUUAGGGAUAACAGCGUAAUUUUAUUGAAAAGUUCUUAUUGAUAAUAGGGAUUGCGACCUCGAUGUUGGAUUAAGAAUAUAUGUUGGUGUAGGUGCUAAUAUUAAUUGGUCUGUUC